UGGGGAAUUUUCCGCAAUGGGGGCAACCCUGACGGAGCAACGCCGCGUGCGGGAGGAAGGCCUUUGGGUUGUAAACCGCUUUUCUCAGGGAAGAAGCUCUGACGGUACCUGAGGAAUCAGCCUCGGCUAACUCCGUGCCAGCAGCCGCGGUAAUACGGAGGAUGCAAGCGUUAUCCGGAAUAAUUGGGCGUAAAGCGUUCGUAGGUGGUUUUGUAAGUCUGCUGUUAAAGCGUGUAGCUUAACUACAUAUAGGCGGUGGAAACUACAAAACUAGAGUGCGUUCGGGGCAGAGGGAAUUCCUAGUGUAGCGGUGAAAUGCGUAGAGAUUAGGAAGAACACCGGUGGCGAAAGCGCUCUGCUAGGCCGCAACUGACACUGAGGGACGAAAGCUAGGGGAGCGAAUGGGAUUAGAUACCCCCGUAGUCC
RNAcentral lists this ribosomal RNA (426 nucleotides) under uncultured prokaryote. Its description in RNAcentral is "bacterial SSU rRNA". It matches the Rfam family "Bacterial small subunit ribosomal RNA", at positions 355 to 796 of the family's 1533-position model. The record is from RNAcentral.